GAGGGGGGUAGAAUUCCAGGUGUAGCGGUGAAAUGCGUAGAGAUCUGGAGGAAUACCGGUGGCGAAGGCGGCCCCCUGGACAAAGACUGACGCUCAGGUGCGAAAGCGUGGGGAGCAAACAGGAUUAGAUACCCUGGUAGUCCACGCCGUAAACGAUGUCUACUUGGAGGUUGUGCCCUUGAGGCGUGGCUUCCGGAGCUAACGCGUUAAGUAGACCGCCUGGGGAGUACGGCCGCAAGGUUAAAACUCAAAUGAAUUGACGGGGGCCCGCACAAGCGGUGGAGCAUGUGGUUUAAUUCGAUGCAACGCGAAGAACCUUAC
Molecule: ribosomal RNA, 321 nt
Filed under: Salmonella enterica subsp. enterica serovar Haifa
Lineage: Bacteria; Pseudomonadati; Pseudomonadota; Gammaproteobacteria; Enterobacterales; Enterobacteriaceae
Description: bacterial SSU rRNA
Rfam family: Bacterial small subunit ribosomal RNA
Source: RNAcentral